GGCCCCGUAGUUCAAUGGAUAGAACGGAAGUUUCCUAAACUUUAGAUACAGGUUCGAUUCCUGUCGGGGCUACCA
Molecule: transfer RNA, 75 nt
Filed under: bioreactor metagenome
Description: tRNA-Arg
Rfam family: tRNA
About the family: Transfer RNA (tRNA) molecules are approximately 80 nucleotides in length. Their secondary structure includes four short double-helical elements and three loops (D, anti-codon, and T loops). Further hydrogen bonds mediate the characteristic L-shaped molecular structure. tRNAs have two regions of fundamental functional importance: the anti-codon, which is responsible for specific mRNA codon recognition, and the 3' end, to which the tRNAs corresponding amino acid is attached (by aminoacyl-tRNA synthetases). tRNAs cope with the degeneracy of the genetic code in two manners: having more than one tRNA (with a specific anti-codon) for a particular amino acid; and 'wobble' base-pairing, i.e. permitting non-standard base-pairing at the 3rd anti-codon position.
Source: RNAcentral